CCUCAACUUAACACUUUCUUCCACUCCUCUAUCUUUCUACCCCCCCACCUCGGCACCAAUGGCGCAACUCCACCCAACUCAAGACUUUGACAGAGCUCUGUCUGGAUAGGAGACCAACCAUACUUGAACAAUUCCGCUACCACCAAGUCAGGACUUAUUACCAGUAACUGUCAGGUAGGGGCUACCUGCAAGGACCCUAACAAGCUUUGAACACCUCUGCACAACUCGGAAACACCUCUUGCUCUAUCA
Pelobates cultripes (western spadefoot toad) is the source of this 249-nucleotide non-coding RNA. NCBI's taxonomy places the organism in Eukaryota, Metazoa, Chordata, Amphibia, Anura, Pelobatidae. The record is from the annotation of a GenBank genome assembly.